GUAUCUUACCUGCCCGCUUUUUUUAUAUUGUCUAGAAAUCGUCCCUUGCCUUUAAAUCUGCAGUGUUUGAUCCGCUCCUAUAGGCGGCGCAAGCGGGCUUCACCUUCAGUCUGACACCUUCGGCUGCUUAACGACAACAACAAGACACUUGAUGACAGUCACAACAACACGUGCAGAUCCUGCCGCAAAUGACAGCUAUUAAAAACGUGUUUUUCAGCAGAUCGGUCCGAUUAAACGCUGGAAUCGAGUGUCACGGGACUCACCUAAUAAGAGAUGUGUUGUGAUUGUAAAGCAGAGCUCUGGACGUGUGGACAGACAGUGACUGUAAUGAUGGACAUCUGCUCAUGAACAGUCUGGACAAAAUCAUAACCGCUGCUGGUCACGGUGCCGGAAGCUCCAGGGGGAGACUGUACUGGUAUCCCCCUUCUUCAGACGCGCCUUCACACACACUCCAGCAUUCACUCAUAUCGCAGAGACCUGGCUGGGAUCAAACCAGCAACCUCUGAACCCGUGAGGCAGCGCUCUUACCUGUGAGCCACAGGUCUCUUGUUGGAGUGUGUGAAGUAACUUAUAUUUGACUGUUGACCUGUGUGUUCCCAAUAAAGAGGUUAAAGUAAGCUGUGUAUGUGAUAUAAUGAGGAGGGAUUUGAACCCAUGUCUUCAUCACAGGCACAUCAUCAGAAAACGUGUUUAUCCACUAACCCGUCAUGGACUUCACAUUGUGGUUUGGUAUUUGAGAGAUUUUGUUGGAUGAGACAGAGUUAAAGUAAGCAAUAGUGUGGUUUGAACCUGAACUUCCAUGUUCAAGACUGAAGCCUUUAACCGCUAAGCCACAGAGACUGUGAUGUUGCAUGCUUUUACUUUUAGGGUUGUUUAGAUUUGUUUGGUUUUUCUUAAUGUAGGUUUACAUUAGGCUGAAUAAACCAUUUUAUUGUUUCUAUUGGGUUAGUUCAAAACGACAUGAUUAGCCAUGCACCACUAGGCUUUCAUCUUGUUUGAACCUCAUUUUAAAUGUAAAACUUGCUAGAUUUGAUUCAGUUCUUUCACACUCAAAGGGUGAACAAUUAUCCACCGUACCACAGACACGGUCUUUAAAGCACUAGCAUUUUUGUUUUUAUAUAUUAACAUUUUU
Long non-coding RNA from Cyprinus carpio carpio, 1132 nucleotides. The record is from Ensembl. NCBI's taxonomy places the organism in Eukaryota, Metazoa, Chordata, Actinopteri, Cypriniformes, Cyprinidae.